AUCAACUUUCGAUGGUAGGAUAGAGGCCUACCAUGGUGGUAACGGGUAACGGGGUGUUAGGGCACGACACCGGAGAGGGAGCCUGAGAAACGGCUACCACAUCCAAGGAUGGCAGCAGGCGCGCAAAUUACCCAAUCCCGACACGGGGAGGUAGUGACAAUAAAUAACAAUACGGGGUUCUUUCGGAUUUCGUAAUUGGAAUGAGUACAAUUUAAAUCUCUUAACGAGGAACAAUUGGAGGGCAAGUCUGGUGCCAGCAGCCGCGGUAAUUCCAGCUCCAAUAGCGUAUAUUAAAGUUGCUGCAGUUAAAAAGCUCGUAGUUGAAUUUCGGGACCAUCAUGUCGGUCGUGCCUAGGUACGUACUGGCAUUGUUGGUUUCUCCCUUCUGACGAACCAUGAUGUCAUUUAUUUGGUGUUGUGGGGAAUCAGGACUGUUACUUUGAAAAAAUUAGAGUGUUUAAAGCAGGCUCACGCUUGAAUACAUUAGCAUGGAAUAAUGAAAUAGGACGUUUGAUUCUAUUUUGUUGGUUUCUAGGAUCGACGUAAUGAUUAAUAGGGAUAGUUGGGGGCAUUAGUAUUCAAUUGUCAGAGGUGAAAUUCUUGGAUUUAUUGAAGACUAACUACUGCGAAAGCAUUUGCCAAGGAUGUUUUCAUUAAUCAAGAACGAAAGUUAGGGGAUCGAAGACGAUCAGAUACCGUCGUAGUCUUAACCAUAAACUAUGCCGACUAGGGAUCGGAUGAUGUUAAUUUUUUAAUGACUCAUUCGGCGCCUUACGGGAAACCAAAGUGUUUGGGUUC
This 798-nucleotide ribosomal RNA is filed under the name uncultured Glomeromycotina. RNAcentral describes it as "SSU rRNA". It matches the Rfam family "Eukaryotic small subunit ribosomal RNA", at positions 314 to 1114 of the family's 1831-position model. The record is from RNAcentral. Lineage: Eukaryota; Fungi; Glomeromycota.